GUACCUGGACGUGGAGGUGGUGACUGCAGCAGCGGUUCCGGAAGUUCUGUGGCCGGCGGAGGCGGAUGUGGCGUCAUCGGUGGGGUCUCCGGCCGUGUCCUCAAGCUCUGAGAGGAUUGCGGUAACACCUUUCUUCACCAAAGGACAUUUCAAAGUGCUUCACAGCCAUUGAAGUAUGGUCAUUGCUGUAAUCGCGUAAAUGCAGCAACUCUGCUCAUCAAGCGCUCCACGAAAAUGAUAAAUCACCCUUAAGUAUCUGCAACGUCUGAAGUUGCCGUAUUUGCACGUCAAUUCCCCAUUAACUUCGCUACAGAAUUCACAGGUUAAUAUCUAUAAAGAUCUUCGGGAAUUGUCAUGAAAUUGGCUGAGUUUUGGAAAUGACGCUGACUUACUCCUGCAAUUUAGAAGCAUAAAACAUGGCUUUGAAUUAGGGAGAAACUAAAAAGAUUUGAUGGGAAGGCCAUUGACCAAAUGACAGUGCUGAAGCCAGGUCUGCAGGAGCUCAAGCAAAAUUGCUGAAAAAUCACUUGACUAGACAGGACACCCUGUCUGGAUGGUCACCAAGCAUCCUCCGCACCAGCUGCUGAACUCUCAUUUCUCAACUGGCCAAUGUUCCAUGGGAGGAGCUUAAACAUUGUUAUCUGGGAGGAAUCAUUCUGAAUGGCAACAACUUCUCAAGUUGCAUCAUUUUUUGAAUCACAACAUCUUAAUGACAAGGUCAUGCUGUGGCAAAACAAAAGGAACCAAUUCUUGUGUUCCAGAUCCCAUGGCCUUGUGGGACAUCCUACCCCAUGGGCCCAAACAUUUGUCAACUGAGAGUUAGCCUUUUCUAUCAUAUAUAGAUCCAUGGGUAGAAACUUUCUUAGACUGAAGAACAGCCAAUGGCAAAUAAGUGAUUUAUAAAUCACAAUAAACAAAAGCAUAUCUUGUUUUAUUUUAUAUGAAGUGGACCUUGUGAAACAAGCCUGAUGGUGCAUGUUAAUAAUGCAAUCAUAACCAUAAAUGUUGUGUUAACAUCUUAUGAUACAAUUGAUGAUUGCAAAAUGUUGACUGUCAUUCAUGACGCCUUAGGCGCUAAAGCAGUCCAUGUUCAAGUGCAGCAAGACCUGGACAAACCUAGACUUCAGUUGACAAAUGGAAUGUAAUGAUGCACCACAUAAGUGACAGGCAAAGACAAUCUCCAACAAGAGAAAAUCUAACCAUCACUGUUGAUAUUCAGUGGUAAAUUACCAACUAUCAUCAUCCUUGGUGUCAUCAUGACCAGGAAAUGAACUAGACGAGCCAAAUGAAUGUUGUGGUUGCAGGAGCAGAUCAGAGACGAGGAAACCUGGAAUUUAUACCUCACUUAAUAACCCUCCAAACCCUGACCAUCAUCUACAAGGCCUAAUUCAGAAGUGUGAUGGAAUAAUCUCUAUUCCUGGAUGGUGAAGUUCCUGCAAAGUUCAGUUAGUGUGAAACCAUCCAGAACAAGGCAAUCUGAGUGGUUGGCACAACUUCGACAAAAGUUCAAUCCAUCCAUCAUUAAUGCUUAGCAGCAGCAUGUAUGAUCUAUAAGAUAUGCUCCUUAAAUUCACUAAGGCUCUUAGACAGCACCUUCCAGACACACAAUCACUUCCAUAAAGAAGGACAAGGGCAGGUCAUACAUGGAAUACCACUACUUGCAAUAUCCCCUCCAAGUCAUUGGCCAUUCUGAAUGAGAAAUAUAGCACUGUUCUUUUAGUAUUGCUGGGUCCAAAUCCUGGAACUCCGUCUCUCGUGGCAUUGUGUGUCUAUGUAAAGUACGUAAGAAGUUCAAGAAGGCAGCUCACCACCACUUUCUCAAGUGCAACGAGCGAUGGAUAAUAAAGGCUGGCCCAGUCACAAAGCACAGAUCCCAUGAAUUUAUUUUAAAAGACGUCUGUCUUUUUCCUAUACCACUCAAAUAAUCUGAUUUCUUACUGUUUCAUACCAUGGAAAUAUGAGAAAAAGAUGAAAGUUUUAUGCAUCAUUUUUCUUGUACACUCCAUCAAAUUCUGUGCAACUCCUGUUGGAGAGGGUGAGCAAUGAUUACUUUGGUAAAUGCACAUUAUAACAAUUAUAGUAUUAAUAGCAGAUCAUUAUGCUUACAGUCAUUUUCAGAAUUAUUAAUUUGUUUUUCUUGAAUGCACUUUUAAUCGCAAUAAUUAUUUAG
This is a long non-coding RNA of Stegostoma tigrinum, 2170 nucleotides long. RefSeq lists it as uncharacterized. The record is from RefSeq and is a predicted model, not a curated record. The transcript is spliced from 5 exons. NCBI's taxonomy places the organism in Eukaryota, Metazoa, Chordata, Chondrichthyes, Orectolobiformes, Stegostomatidae.